GGGAGAGUAACACGUGGGAACGCGCCCUUCGGUUCGGAAUAACUCAGGGAAACUUGAGCUAAUACCGGAUACGCCCUAACGGGGAAAGAUUUAUUGCCGGAGGAACGGCCCGCGUCCGAUUAGCUAGUUGGUGAGGUAAUGGCUCACCAAGGCGACGAUCGGUAGCUGGUCUGAGAGGAUGACCAGCCUCACUGGGACUGAGACACGGCCCAGACUCCUACGGGAGGCAGCAGUGGGGAAUAUUGGACAAUGGGCGCAAGCCUGAUCCAGCCAUGCCGCGUGGAUGAUGAAGGCCCUAGGGUUGUAAAGUCCUUUUAACGGGGAAGAUAAUGACGGUACCCGUAGAAUAAGCCCCGGCUAACUUCGUGCCAGCAGCCGCGGUAAUACGAAGGGGGCUAGCGUUGCUCGGAAUUACUGGGCGUAGAGCGCACGUAGGCGGAUUCUUAAGUCGGUGGUGAAAUCCUGGAGCUCAACUCCAGAACUGCCUUCGAUACUGGGAAUCUUGAGUCCGGGAGAGGUGAGUGGAACUGCGAGUGUAGAGGUGAAAUUCGUAGAUAUUCGCAAGAACACCAGUGGCGAAGGCGGCUCACUGGCCCGGUACUGACGCUGAGGUGCGAAAGCGCGGGGAGCAAACAGGAUUAGAUACCCUGGUAGUCCACGCCGUAAACGAUGGAUGCUAGCCGUUAGCGAGCUUGCUCGUCAGUGGCGCAGCUAACGCUUUAAGCAUCCCGCCUGGGGAGUACGGUCGCAAGAUUAAAACUCAAAGGAAUAGACGGGGGCCCGCACAAGCGGUGGAGCAUGUGAUUCAAUUCGAAGCAACGCGAAGAACCUUACCAGCUCUUGACAUGUCUCGUAUGGAUUUCAGA
This 866-nucleotide ribosomal RNA is filed under the name uncultured bacterium. RNAcentral's name for it is "bacterial SSU rRNA". It matches the Rfam family "Bacterial small subunit ribosomal RNA", at positions 104 to 1006 of the family's 1533-position model. The record is from RNAcentral.